Molecule: transfer RNA, 73 nt
Filed under: Microbacterium sp.
Lineage: Bacteria; Bacillati; Actinomycetota; Actinomycetes; Micrococcales; Microbacteriaceae
Also listed under: 4 other names
Description: tRNA-Arg
Rfam family: tRNA
About the family: Transfer RNA (tRNA) molecules are approximately 80 nucleotides in length. Their secondary structure includes four short double-helical elements and three loops (D, anti-codon, and T loops).
Source: RNAcentral
GCCUCCGUAGCUCAGGGGAUAGAGCACCGGUUUCCGGUACCGAAGGUCGGGGGUUCGAAUCCCUCCGGGGGCA